RNAcentral lists this ribosomal RNA (1554 nucleotides) under Staphylococcus aureus. RNAcentral's name for it is "16S ribosomal RNA". It matches the Rfam family "Bacterial small subunit ribosomal RNA". Lineage: Bacteria; Bacillati; Bacillota; Bacilli; Caryophanales; Staphylococcaceae. The record is from RNAcentral.
UUUAUGGAGAGUUUGAUCCUGGCUCAGGAUGAACGCUGGCGGCGUGCCUAAUACAUGCAAGUCGAGCGAACGGACGAGAAGCUUGCUUCUCUGAUGUUAGCGGCGGACGGGUGAGUAACACGUGGAUAACCUACCUAUAAGACUGGGAUAACUUCGGGAAACCGGAGCUAAUACCGGAUAAUAUUUUGAACCGCAUGGUUCAAAAGUGAAAGACGGUCUUGCUGUCACUUAUAGAUGGAUCCGCGCUGCAUUAGCUAGUUGGUAAGGUAACGGCUUACCAAGGCAACGAUGCAUAGCCGACCUGAGAGGGUGAUCGGCCACACUGGAACUGAGACACGGUCCAGACUCCUACGGGAGGCAGCAGUAGGGAAUCUUCCGCAAUGGGCGAAAGCCUGACGGAGCAACGCCGCGUGAGUGAUGAAGGUCUUCGGAUCGUAAAACUCUGUUAUUAGGGAAGAACAUAUGUGUAAGUAACUGUGCACAUCUUGACGGUACCUAAUCAGAAAGCCACGGCUAACUACGUGCCAGCAGCCGCGGUAAUACGUAGGUGGCAAGCGUUAUCCGGAAUUAUUGGGCGUAAAGCGCGCGUAGGCGGUUUUUUAAGUCUGAUGUGAAAGCCCACGGCUCAACCGUGGAGGGUCAUUGGAAACUGGAAAACUUGAGUGCAGAAGAGGAAAGUGGAAUUCCAUGUGUAGCGGUGAAAUGCGCAGAGAUAUGGAGGAACACCAGUGGCGAAGGCGACUUUCUGGUCUGUAACUGACGCUGAUGUGCGAAAGCGUGGGGAUCAAACAGGAUUAGAUACCCUGGUAGUCCACGCCGUAAACGAUGAGUGCUAAGUGUUAGGGGGUCUCCGCCCCUUAGUGCUGCAGCUAACGCAUUAAGCACUCCGCCUGGGGAGUACGACCGCAAGGUUGAAACUCAAAGGAAUUGACGGGGACCCGCACAAGCGGUGGAGCAUGUGGUUUAAUUCGAAGCAACGCGAAGAACCUUACCAAAUCUUGACAUCCUUUGACAACUCUAGAGAUAGAGCCUUCCCCUUCGGGGGACAAAGUGACAGGUGGUGCAUGGUUGUCGUCAGCUCGUGUCGUGAGAUGUUGGGUUAAGUCCCGCAACGAGCGCAACCCUUAAGCUUAGUUGCCAUCAUUAAGUUGGGCACUCUAAGUUGACUGCCGGUGACAAACCGGAGGAAGGUGGGGAUGACGUCAAAUCAUCAUGCCCCUUAUGAUUUGGGCUACACACGUGCUACAAUGGACAAUACAAAGGGCAGCGAAACCGCGAGGUCAAGCAAAUCCCAUAAAGUUGUUCUCAGUUCGGAUUGUAGUCUGCAACUCGACUACAUGAAGCUGGAAUCGCUAGUAAUCGUAGAUCAGCAUGCUACGGUGAAUACGUUCCCGGGUCUUGUACACACCGCCCGUCACACCACGAGAGUUUGUAACACCCGAAGCCGGUGGAGUAACCUUUUAGGAGCUAGCCGUCGAAGGUGGGACAAAUGAUUGGGGUGAAGUCGUAACAAGGUAGCCGUAUCGGAAGGUGCGGCUGGAUCACCUCCUUUCU